GACGAACGCUGGCGGCGUGCUUAACACAUGCAAGUCGAACGGAAAGGCCCUGCUUUUGUGGGGUGCUCGAGUGGCGAACGGGUGAGUAACACGUGAGUAACCUGCCCUUGACUUUGGGAUAACUUCAGGAAACUGGGGCUAAUACCGGAUAGGAGCUCCUGCUGCAUGGUGGGGGUUGGAAAGUUUCGGCGGUUGGGGAUGGACUCGCGGCUUAUCAGCUUGUUGGUGGGGUAGUGGCUUACCAAGGCUUUGACGGGUAGCCGGCCUGGGAGGGUGACCGGCCACAUUGGGACUGAGAUACGGCCCAGACUCCUACGGGAGGCAGCGGUGGGGAAUAUUGCACAAUGGGCGGGAGCCUGAUGCAGCAACGCCGCGUGCGGGAUGACGGCCAUGGGGUUGUAAACCGCAUUCGCCUGUGACGAAGCGUGAGUGACGGUAAUGGGUAAAGAAGCACCGGCUAACUACGUG
Molecule: ribosomal RNA, 468 nt
Filed under: uncultured bacterium
Lineage: Bacteria
Description: partial 16S ribosomal RNA
Rfam family: Bacterial small subunit ribosomal RNA
Source: RNAcentral